AAAAAUAGUAAAAAAACUGCUGCCACUCUUUUUGCUCUGCUAGGGUUUGGAACCCUAGCGUCCUCGCGCCGCCUCCCAGGCGAUUCGGUCGGUCUGAAAUCCGGCACCGAUUCCGACCCCAACUCAGGUAAGUUUUCUUUUUCUUUUUCUUUGUUAUUUUAAAUGAAACAAAAUGAAAAGUAAAAGAAAAUGAAAAAACAUAUGUAAAACGAUAGACACUAUCAACAACGAAAAAGAAAUCACCUUUAAAGAACAAGUUUUUCACUAUUUUUUUCUCUAUUCUCGAUUAUUUAUCUUUUUAGUGUACAAGUUAGGCUUUUAUAGCCUCAGAAAACUGCUUUAUUUUACAAUAUUGGGACUCUUUUAGUCCGCUUUUGCAGGUGGUUGUGGAGAGCACGGCGCGCGUGGAGGCCGAAACUUGCGGCGGCUGGAGGCUGGGCGUGGGAGCGGCGCGCGUGCAAGGUAGUUGCCUAGGGUUUUUUUUUACUUAGGUUUUCUUUAGUUGCUGAGUUGAGCUAGGUUAGUUUGUGUUUUAGGCCAUACGGGUUAUUGGGUUUGGGCACAGGAAUUAUUGGGCUUGUACACUAUUAAUCCAAGACUUUUUGCAGCGAAUUUUAGUAUAAAUGUCGCUAUAUUUAUGGCGCCAAAAUAUUCACAUGACAUUGUUGUGAAGCAGGUGAUGAAACUUGAAAUUAGCGACGUUUUAUACAGUAAACGUCGCAACUUUUGUCACAAUGGGUGGUGUGUUACUUUGAAACGCAGCGGUUAAAAGUAAUACAUGGCGACAUUUUUUUCUAAAAGCACCACUAGUUAUGCCAUUGUAUGUAGAAUUUGAUAUAGUGCUUGGUCUCUCUCUAAUUCUAAUCUUAUCAUUGAUAUCUCCACUAAUAUCUUAAGUGAUUCUUUUUGACCCCUGAAUAAUAGUUGGAGUUGUUUAAUGUUGUUAUCUAAG
Molecule: long non-coding RNA, 952 nt
Filed under: Gossypium barbadense (sea-island cotton)
Lineage: Eukaryota; Viridiplantae; Streptophyta; Magnoliopsida; Malvales; Malvaceae
Description: long non-coding RNA (GBAR_LNC013239)
Source: RNAcentral